This is a non-coding RNA of Delphinapterus leucas (beluga whale), 2058 nucleotides long. Lineage: Eukaryota; Metazoa; Chordata; Mammalia; Artiodactyla; Monodontidae. The record is from RefSeq and is a predicted model, not a curated record.
UGUGGGAUCUUCCCGGACCGGGGCACGAACCCGUGUCCCCUGCAUCGGCAGGCAGACUCUCAACCACUGCGCCACCAGGGAAGCCCCAGGCCAGUAUUUCUUAAACUGGCGUCAUUGCCUACUAGAAAUCUACAGACAUAAUCUUGAGUUCUGGGAGAAUUUAAAAAUGCUGUGUUUUCACUUUGAUGAUCAAAACUGCUAACAUGAGGUUAGGUUUGGAGAUACAGGUCCAUUAUUAUCUUGUGAUUCUUAUGGACGCACAGAAGUGACAUCAAUUCGCCAUAUAUGUAGAGGCAAUAUUUGUUGUAAAUGGAUAUAAAUCAACUUUGCGCUAAGAAUUCAGAGUUACUUAACUCUCUCUCUGCUCAUUUCCUCAUCUUGAAGUUAUUUUAACCAUGCUAUUUACCUUGGUGAAUUCCACAAAUAUCUAUUGAUUACUUCUAUGACACGCAGUAGAUAAGACUCUGACCUCUCCAUAAAACUGAAAUAAUGCUAGUCCACAUCUGAUGAGCUACUGAAGAAGGAUGACAUUUUGCUGAACUCUUUUCUUGAUAAAUGCAACAGAAUAUAGCAAAAAUCAAUAGUGGAACAGACAUACCUAAAACAUGGUUAUUCUUCAUGUAAGAAAAUGGUUUGAAAACCCUGACUGAACCAUUUGUUAGCCAGAAAAUACAAGGCUUCGGAAUAAAUAUCCAGUGGAUGAACAUAUUCGUAAUUUGGGAAAUCUUGAAAAGUUAUAUGAAGGAAUUUUAUUUAUGGGAAAGUGGUUUAACAAAUACCUGGGUGUAAUACUUAAAGAGAAUCUAAACUAAUCUUGGCUAUGAGGGUUUUUCUUUUGGGCCCCUUUUAUCUUAAGUGAUUGUAUAGUUAUUUAAAAAUUAAUCGUUACAAGAUUCCACGCAUGGAAAAUGUGAAAACUACACAUUUACAGGAUGUACAUGUCAAAAGCCUAUACACUACUACAUCUUGGCAUAUCCAUUCACAUAAAACAUAAGCAGCAAUUAUUCCUUCUGCAGAAGCCGUAGAAUAGAUAUCAAGGACUAAGAAUCUGUGUUCCUUACUGUCCUAGGUAGCAAUAUCUCAAACCUCUCAUUAGAUCUACGAGAAGAUUAUUGCCUGAGAAGAUGUUUUAAUUCAACUUUGGAUGGCUUCUAAAAUGUUAUGUCAGUGACUUUGCCAUGAUGUUUGGCCUUCAGUAAUUUGUACUGAACCUUGAGCCAGAAGGCUCAGUCCUCUGUGCAGGCAUGGAGCAGUGAAGGCUGGUUUCAUCACAUACAUGUAAACAAUUUUAGAACAAAGCUUCCUAUAGGACACAGUAUAAGCACAACACUAGAAAACCUUCCUACACAGAAGUUAAUUAUGGAACUCAAGGUACCCUUCCUGUAUUUUAACUAUGUCCACAGAAUCACAUGAUGCCAUUUAUGCAUAUGAUCAGUCUUAGGGAUAAUGGUAUUGAGAAUCAGUACAUUUAGGGGUAAAUUACUUUAAACUGAGUCCUUGUAAUACAAUAAAGAAGUGAAGGACAGAUUACUAAUACAAUAUUACUUUAAAUUUGUUGUAUGCUUUCUAUUGCUUACGUUGUACCAGGGGCUGUAAAUACAUUAUCACAUUUAAUCUUCAAAAGGACACUGCAAGUUAGAAAUUCCUAUCACCAUUUUACAGAUGGGGAAACUAAGAGUUGGAGGGGUUAAAUGCCUCAUUCAAAGUCUGGUGAGUAAACUGCAGAGCCAGAAUUCAAACCAGGUCUGUUUGACCCCAAACCUGAACUCUUUAAGAUCUAUAUUCUACUACUUUCUAAGUGUCAUUAUUAAUGCUGGUCUCCCAGUUGGGAGACAGACCAGAACUCUCCAAAUAACACUAUGUGGUGUCAAUAAAUUAUUUUAAUCAGGUGUUUAAAAAAAUUCAGGAAUUAUGCUUAUGCAAAUUUUUCAUAGGAAAAUAAUAGUUUCAAUGCAGUUUUCCUGUUACAUAAACAGGAAAGUUUGUCAUGUCGGUUCCAGACAUCUGAGAGAACAGUAAACAAAUAAGGAGAAGACGAUGAGACAGAGCUAGGCAGGU